UACAGAGGGUGCGAGCGUUAAUCGGAAUUACUGGGCGUAAAGCGCACGUAGGUGGCGACGUAAGUCGGGUGUGAAAGCCCCGGGCUCAACCUGGGAAUUGCAUUCGAGACUGCAUUGCUGGAGUACGGAAGAGGAGGGCGGAAUUCCCGGUGUAGCGGUGAAAUGCGUAGAUAUCGGGAGGAACAUCAGUGGCGAAGGCGGCCCUCUGGUCCAGUACUGACACUCAAGUGCGAAAGCGUGGGGAGCAAACAGGAUUAGAAACCCUGGUAGU
This 271-nucleotide ribosomal RNA is filed under the name uncultured bacterium. RNAcentral describes it as "partial 16S ribosomal RNA". It matches the Rfam family "Bacterial small subunit ribosomal RNA", at positions 524 to 794 of the family's 1533-position model. The record is from RNAcentral.